Molecule: ribosomal RNA, 496 nt
Filed under: uncultured bacterium
Lineage: Bacteria
Description: partial 16S ribosomal RNA
Rfam family: Bacterial small subunit ribosomal RNA
Source: RNAcentral
GAUGAACGCUGGCGGCGUGCCUAAUACAUGCCAGUCGAGCGAACGGACGAGAAGCUUGCUUUUCUGAUGUUAGCGGCGGACGGGUGAGUAACACGUGGAUAACCUACCUAUAAGACUGGGAUAACUUCGGGAAACCGGAGCUAAUACCGGAUAAUAUUUUGAACCGCAUGGUUCAAAAGUGAAAGACGGUCUUGCUGUCACUUAUAGAUGGAUCCGCGCUGCAUUAGCUAGUUGGUAAGGUAACGGCUUACCAAGGCAACGAUGCAUAGCCGACCUGAGAGGGUGAUCGGCCACACUGGAACUGAGACACGGUCCAGACUCCUACGGGAGGCAGCAGUAGGGAAUCUUCCGCAAUGGGCGAAGCCUGACGGAGCAACGCCGCGUGAGUGAUGAAGGUCUUCGGAUCGUAAAACUCUGUUAUUAGGGAAGAACAUAUGUGUAAGUAACUGUGCACAUCUUGACGGUACCUAAUCAGAAAGCCACGGCUAACUACGUG